Molecule: long non-coding RNA, 2827 nt
Filed under: Homo sapiens (human)
Lineage: Eukaryota; Metazoa; Chordata; Mammalia; Primates; Hominidae
Description: non-protein coding LINC01224:53
Source: RNAcentral
AGAAAUGAUUUCUGUUGAUUCUUGAAAUAAAAUUUUUUCCAAAGGACAAGAAGCUCCCAUCCCAGUAAGGCAAUGCAAGAACCUGAAGCAAAAUGCACCUGAGGCUUACAGUGGGGUUCUGACAACAAAGGAGAUUGUGACAUAUUGCUGGGCCUAACACUAAGGUGAUGUUAGUUAUUUGCUUUGGCUGUGCCCUUGGAAGGCAUUGAGACAUACUGCUGUGCCCAGCACCAAGAUGAUGUAACGUGACUCUUCUGCUUCAGGCCUGCCAAAAGAAAAGAUUGUGACAGAUCACUGGACCCAGCACCUAGGUAGGAUUGUGACAUAUAUCUGGCCAAGCGUACAGAUGUAAUGAUGACUGUCAUACCUUGAAGAAGCCAAUAGCAGAGAGAAUGUUGCUCUCAGGCUUAGGAAAAUGAGGAAGUCUUUCUGUACAAAAGUCAUAAAGAAUUACUACUCUCUCACAUAUAUUACGCCCUAGUGUGUUACAGAGAAUGUCAUAACAGGGCCCAGCACACAAGUGAGAUUGUGUUUGUCCUAUGCACACUACACCAACCUUUACAGUUGUCACCCUGACCCAUUGACAGAGUCUGCUAGUGAGGUUCUGAAUUACAUGUGAACACAGUCCGCAGUUGGAAUUGUGACUGUCAUAUGUGAACAUCUGGCUACAGUUGGGAUGGUGACUCAUUUCUAAAUCCAGCUCAUAGGAAGGUGAAGACUCUCCUAUCUGGACUCAGUUGGUGAGAGAGAUGUUGACUCUCAUAUCUGGGCUUAGAACCACAGGAAAGAUUCUGGAGCUCCUUGUGCAAAGGUCAUAGAGGAUUAUCAAUCUUGCAUAUUGUAUAAAGUCCUCAGGUGACACAGAGUGUCUCUCGAAUGCACACCCAGGCAACAGUAAAGAUUGUCAUUCUCCCACAUAAACACAUCCCACUGUUGAAGUUCUGAAUUUCACAGAGGCUGUCAAAAGUUGGAUAAUUGCCUCUCAUGUGUGGAUCUGGUCCACAGGUGGGUUAGUGACUUCCAGACCAAGGUUCAGCGCACAUGUAAGGCUGUGACUACACUAAGAAGAUACAGUCUGCAGAAGAAACUGUGGCUCUUUUGCACACAUUCUGUCAAUCAUUGUGAUUGCGACUCAUGUACUUAGACCCAACAUACAGGAGGUGUUGACUUUCAUACCUUUAGAACCUGGACAUGUUUGGAAUUUCUAAUCUAAUCCCUGGACUUUCCUGCAGGUGUGAUUGUGUGCAUUGCAAAGCACCUUAGUGAUUUGACUCUCCUGCCUUGGCCAAGCACACAAAUGAGAUUGUGACAUAUGGCUUGACUCUGAACCUCCAAGAUGUGACUCUUUUUUCCAGCCUUGGAGCUGCCCACAUGUUGCAUUGUGACAUAUUCCUAAGCCCUGCACUCAGGUUAUGUGACUCUCCUUUUUUGCUUAGGCCCUGAAUAUUUUUCAUGUUAAGACAUAUUACUAGGUCCAACACCUAUAAAAUGGGAGACUACCACCUGGGCUCUUUCUACAGAGGGCCUUGUGACAUACCUCUGCAUCAAUAACCUAGGAGAUGUGAUGCUCCAUUUUUGCCUGUACGUGCCCCACAGAAAAAAUUGUGGCUGGCCCAGGUACCAGGUGAUGUGUCUCUGCUGCCUGGGCCUGGACCACAGAGAGCAUUGUUACUGAUUGCUGGGCUCAGCACCCAGGUGAUGUGACUCUGCUGCCUGUGUGCUGCUUUCAGGAGAAGGUUGUAACUUAUUCCUGGCUGAGUAUGCAGUCACACUCCUGACUGAUCUCUGCCCUCAGAAAAGGUUGUGUCAAGCCGGGCCCGGUGGCUCAUGCCAGUAAUCCCCAGCACUUAGGGAGACCGAGGUGGGUGGAUCGCCUGAGGAGUUUGAGACCAGAUGGCCAACAUGGUGAAACCCCGUCUCUACUAAAAAUACAAAAAUUAAUCGGGUGUGGUGGCGGGCACCUGUAAACUCAGCUAUUCGGGAGCCUGAGGCAGGAGAAUUGCUUGAACCCGGGAGGUGGAGGUUGCAGUGAGCCAAGAUCAUGCCACUGCACUCCAGCCUGGGCAGCAGAGCAAGAUUCCAUCUUGGGAAAAAAAUUACAAAAAUUAGCCAGGCGUGGUGGUAUGCACCUGUAGUCCCAGCUACUUGAGAGGCUGAGGCACAGCAGUCACUUGAACUUAGGAGGCGGAGGUUGCAGUGAGCCAAGACUGUGCCAUUGCACUCCAGCCUGGGCAACAAGAGCAAAACUCCAUCUCAAAAAAAAAAAAAAAAAAAAAAAGGUUGUGUCAUAUUCCUGGCUAAAAACCCAGAUGAUGUGACUCUCCUCUCUCCCUAUUCAUAGGCAGGAUUGUAAAAUAUAUCUUUUUUUUUUUGAGACAGUUUCAUUUUGUCACCCAGGCUGGAGUGCAGUGGCAUGAUCUUGGCUCACUGCAACCUCCGCUUCCUGGGUUCAAGCAAUUCUCUUGCCUCAGCCUCCUUAGUAGCUAGCCACCACACCUGGCUAAUUUUUGUAUUUCUAUUAGAGAUAGGGUUUCCCAAUGUUGGUGAGGCUGAUCUCAAACUCUUGACCUCAGGUGAUGCACCUGCCUCAGCCUCCCAAAGUGCUGGGAUUACAGGUGUGAGUGACUGCGCCUGGCCUGUAAAAUAUAUCUUGACCUAGAUCACAGAUGCAAUGAUUACUCUCAUACCUCACAGUAUUUAAUAGGAGAGAUGCUCUCUCUUGCUCUCGCUCUCUUUUUUCUUUUUUUUUUUUUUUGAGACAGUUUUGUUCUUGUUACCCAGGCUGCAGUGCAAUGGCGUGAUCUCUGCCCACCACAACCUCUGCCUC